Molecule: long non-coding RNA, 228 nt
Filed under: Eutrema salsugineum
Lineage: Eukaryota; Viridiplantae; Streptophyta; Magnoliopsida; Brassicales; Brassicaceae
Description: long non-coding RNA (ESAL_LNC001747)
Source: RNAcentral
GAGUUUAUGACUUUGCUUACUUUCCCAGUUUGUUGUUUCUCGCAUAUUAGACAUCCUCCUUGUGGAUCCACACCCUAAGUCCUACAACGUACAUCUUUGCACUUGCAGACACUAGGGUUUUAUAAAUUUAAAACUUUUGGAGGACCAAUGGGCUUGUUAAAAAUAAACCCUAGGCCCGCAAGCCCAUCAGGUUCACGGUUGAGGGAAGGACAAAUUCAAGAAGGCUUG